Molecule: ribosomal RNA, 497 nt
Filed under: uncultured bacterium
Lineage: Bacteria
Description: partial 16S ribosomal RNA
Rfam family: Bacterial small subunit ribosomal RNA
Source: RNAcentral
GAUGAACGCUGGCGGCGUGCCUAAUACAUGCAAGUCGAGCGAACGGACGAGAAGCUUGCUUCUCUGAUGUUAGCGGCGGACGGGUGAGUAACACGUGGAUAACCUACCUAUAAGACUGGGAUAACUUCGGGAAACCGGAGCUAAUACCGGAUAAUAUUUUGAACCGCAUGGUUCAAAAGUGAAAGACGGUCUUGCUGUCACUUAUAGAUGGAUCCGCGCUGCAUUAGCUAGUUGGUAAGGUAACGGCUUACCAAGGCAACGAUGCAUAGCCGACCUGAGAGGGUGAUCGGCCAAAACUGAACUGAGACACGGUCCAGACUCCUACGGGAGGCAGCAGUAGGGAAUCUUCCGGAAUGGGCGAAAGCCUGACGGAGCAACGCCGCGUGAGUGAUGAAGGUCCUCGGAUCGUAAAACUCUGUUAUUAGGGAAGAACAAAUGUGUAAGUAACUGUGCACAUCUUGACGGUACCUAAUCAGAAAGCCACGGCUAACUACGUG